CAGCAGUAAGAAUCACCAUUUGAGUUGUCUCCUUUUACAAGAGGGUUAGAGUUGGUGAUGCGGUUACCAAGUUGACUCUUCUCCAAUCAUGCUGACAUGAGGUCCUCAACUUGGGUCCUGCCUUCUUUCUGCCCACCUUGCCCUUAAAGUCCUUGAGUUCUGAUUCAGUGCUUUGGAUUCAUCAGCUAAGUAGUGUCCUUGAGGAAGCAAAUGACCCAGGAUUUUUCUGAAGAAAAUGAUGAUCUGUUAUCUGAGAGAGGGAAGCUCUUUGGCCACCAGGCAAAACCUCAGAUGAAGGAAGACUGCAGUAGAAGCGAUGAGCAGUGUCCUUUCUGCAUGGCUGGACCAAGAUUAGAGUCAAAGUCACUGUAUCUUCUACUAUUUUCUUCUUGAUUUGCAUCCAGAAUUGUCUCUGUACUAACUAGAUUUUUAUUAAAAGGAAGUGGAAUAGUAAGAUAUAAAUUUCCACUUAUAAAAUUAGCAUAUAGGUGGGAGUAUUACAGUUUUCAUGAAAAGCAAUUUGAGAGACUGUUAAGAACUUAAAAGAUGAACAUAGAUACCUAUCCUAAGGAAAUAAUUAGAGAGACCAAUUAACAUAUCGACAGGGCUAUUUAUCAUUCUGAAUAAUUGAAAAACUAAAUGUAUAAUGUCCAACAUUAGAUGAAUGAAUAAAUAAAUUAUAGCAUACUAAUAUAAUUACAGUAUACUCAGA
RNAcentral lists this long non-coding RNA (712 nucleotides) under Pan troglodytes (chimpanzee). RNAcentral describes it as "lincRNA". The record is from RNAcentral. Lineage: Eukaryota; Metazoa; Chordata; Mammalia; Primates; Hominidae.